GACCUCGGAUCAGGUAG
RNAcentral lists this ribosomal RNA (17 nucleotides) under Siphula ceratites. RNAcentral's name for it is "partial 28S ribosomal RNA". RNAcentral also lists the same sequence under 4 other names. Lineage: Eukaryota; Fungi; Ascomycota; Lecanoromycetes; Pertusariales; Icmadophilaceae. The record is from RNAcentral.